This 73-nucleotide transfer RNA is filed under the name Candidatus Coatesbacteria bacterium 4484_99. RNAcentral's name for it is "tRNA-Thr". It matches the Rfam family "tRNA". Rfam says of the family: Transfer RNA (tRNA) molecules are approximately 80 nucleotides in length. Their secondary structure includes four short double-helical elements and three loops (D, anti-codon, and T loops). The record is from RNAcentral. RNAcentral also lists the same sequence under 2 other names. Lineage: Bacteria; Candidatus Coatesiibacteriota.
GCCUCCGUAGCUCAGGUGGAAGAGCACGGCACUCGUAAUGCCGGGGUAGCGGGUUCGAAUCCCGCCGGGGGCU